GAUGAAGAACGCAGCGAAAUGCGAUACUUGGUGUGAAUUGCAGAAUCCCGUGAACCAUCGAGUCUUUGAACGCAAGUUGCGCCUCAAGCCAUUAGGUUGAGGGCACGUCUGCCUCGGCGUCACAUAUCGUUGCCUGAUGCCAGUUUCCUCGUGAUGGGUGACUGUGCAGGGCGAAUGAUGGCUUCCCGUGAGCAUUGUUGCCUCAUGGUUGGUUGAAAAUUGAGUCCUUGGUAGGGAGCGCCGUGAUAGAUGGUGGUUGAGUGACGAACGAGACCCAAUCAUGUGAGACCCCUACCGAAUUUGGCCUUCAUGACCCACAUGCGUCUUUGGAACGCUCAUGACGAGACCUCAGGUCAGGCGGGGCUACCCGCUGAGUUUAAGCAUAUCAAUAAGCGGAGGA
Molecule: unclassified non-coding RNA, 400 nt
Filed under: soil metagenome
Description: partial contains 5.8S ribosomal RNA, internal transcribed spacer 2, and large subunit ribosomal RNA
Rfam family: 5.8S ribosomal RNA (bases 1-122)
Source: RNAcentral